Molecule: ribosomal RNA, 472 nt
Filed under: uncultured bacterium
Lineage: Bacteria
Description: bacterial SSU rRNA
Rfam family: Bacterial small subunit ribosomal RNA
Source: RNAcentral
GACGAACGCUGGCGGCGUGCUUAACACAUGCAAGUCGAGCGGACCUUCGGGUCAGCGGCGAACGGGUGAGUAACACGUGGGCAACCUGCCCCAGACUCUGGAAUAACUCCGGGAAACCGGGGCUAAUGCCGGAUAUUCACAUGCUCGGGCAUCUGGGUGUGUGUAAAGAUUUAUCGGUCUGGGAUGGGCCCGCGGCCUAUCAGCUUGUUGGUGGGGUGAAGGCCUACCAAGGCGACGACGGGUAGCCGGCCUGAGAGGGCGACCGGCCACACUGGGACUGAGACACGGCCCAGACUCCUACGGGAGGCAGCAGUGGGGAAUAUUGCGCAAUGGGCGAAAGCCUGACGCAGCGACGCCGCGUGAGGGAUGACGGCCUUCGGGUUGUAAACCUCUUUCAGCAGGGACGAAGCGCAAGUGACGGUACCUGCAGAAGAAGCACCGGCCAACUACGUGCCAGCCGCCGCCGUAACAC